Molecule: long non-coding RNA, 742 nt
Filed under: Homo sapiens (human)
Lineage: Eukaryota; Metazoa; Chordata; Mammalia; Primates; Hominidae
Description: HSALNT0188728
Source: RNAcentral
AAAUCUUUACACUUCUUUUAUGACCUAGCUUAAGGUUUAUCCCUAAAUGAUGCCUUUGCUGAUUAAUUCCACCUCUAGUAAUCUUUGCCCUUUGAAUUCCUUCUGUAUUCCCAUCUAGUUUGUACUGUUCUAUCAAUAAGUUUCUUGCAUGUUGCCAUAUAAAUUGUUCUCUGUCUCAUGUUUGCAAGUCUUCUCUUCUUAACUAUACCAAAGCUGCUUGAGGGCAAGUGACUGUGUCUUCUCCUAAUGUAAAUAGCAGGACAUUUAUUAAAUGUGCAACCUAGGUAAAUUAUUGAAAAAUUUUGAGCUUCAGUUUCCUCAUUUGUUACAUGAGGACAAUGAUGCCUGCACCACACAAUGUUCAGACAAUCAAAUGAGACAAUGUGUACAGAGUGCUUUAUGAAGUAUAAAACAUUUGACAGAAGUGAAGCAUACUAUUUUUUUAAAGUGGUGACAGAAUCUAUAAAUGAAAGAUAAUUUAAAAACUUAAUAAAAGAACUUAGAGUACAGCAAUAUUAGUUACUAUCUUACACAUAGGACAAAUUCACUUAAUAUCAAAGUCAAGUCUUAAUGAACCUGCAAGGCUCACAUUGAACUGAAUUUUUCAGAUCUGAGUUUUGGGUCCAGCAUUGCCAAUAAUUUUGUGAUGUAACACUUCAACCUUUGAUAGUUUAAGGCCUUUCCCAGCUUUAAAUAUCUGAUACACAAGUGAAAAUUUGGGUAUGUUAGCCUUGUUUUUGGG